UAGGGAAUCUUCGGCAAUGGACGAAAGUCUGACCGAGCAACGCCGCGUGAGUGAAGAAGGUUUUCGGAUCGUAAAACUCUGUUGUUAGAGAAGAACAAGGACGUUAGUAACUGAACGUCCCCUGACGGUAUCUAACCAGAAAGCCACGGCUAACUACGUGCCAGCAGCCGCGGUAAUACGUAGGUGGCAAGCGUUGUCCGGAUUUAUUGGGCGUAAAGCGAGCGCAGGCGGUUUCUUAAGUCUGAUGUGAAAGCCCCCGGCUCAACCGGGGAGGGUCAUUGGAAGCUGGGAGACUUGGGUGCAGAAGAGGAGAGUGGAAUUCCAUGGGUAGCGGUGAAAUGCGUAGAUAUAUGGAGGAACACCGGUGGCGAAGGCGGCUCUCUGGUCUGUAACUGACGCUGAGGCUAGAAAGCGUGGGGAGCAAACAGG
Molecule: ribosomal RNA, 429 nt
Filed under: Gemmatimonadota bacterium
Lineage: Bacteria; Pseudomonadati; Gemmatimonadota
Description: Gemmatimonadetes bacterium partial 16S ribosomal RNA
Rfam family: Bacterial small subunit ribosomal RNA
Source: RNAcentral